CCCAUUUACUAAUCUUAUUAAAUCAUCUCCUAAUGUAUUUAGCUAAGAUUAUUUUACUCAUCUGAAUUUUGAUAGAUUAGCUCUGUAUAUGUGAUGAGUACCUUCUCCUUGGGGGUAUAUAUUCCAUAUAUGCCAGGGAAAACUCUUUGUCAUUGGCUAGAUUAGCAAGCAACAAGGUGAUCAUGGAAAGCCCUUUAAUUAGUCUAUAUUUAAUUUAAUUAGUCUGAACAGCAAAUUAAUUCAGGGUACAGUAACAAAAGAUGUAGAAGUGCUAACUGAUAAUGAAAAGUGAAAUUAGAUAAUGUAUAGAAUGAUUUUGAAAGUAUUUUUUUUUUCCUUGUUCUGGCCAUAGCCCCCCUCCACUCCUUUCUGUCGUCUUCAUCCAAAUGGCUACUUCUCUGAUUGUCCAUUAUUCGAUCAACAAUUAACCCCAGGGAAGAGAAUCUAGGAUUUCCCAGAAAGGCAUUAUUAGCCACCUUUCCUGCAGACAUGGUGAUGCAUCUUGGGAAGAGAAACUCAAAUUAGCUACCAGAAGGCUGAAAUCUUUCUUCAAAUUCAGUUCUGGCUAUAGGACAUCUCUUCCCAAACACCUACCAGAUCAUCGAAUCCAGCAUGUUGCAGAUGGAGUGGAGGGUCUGGGGCCAGGUACCUGCUUCACGUCAAUUGUCCAACUUCCCAGUUCUGAUGAAGUUGCCACCAGGCUCCACUCUUCCUUCCCCAUCAGUGCUUGCCUCACACUUGGUCCCAUCCAGUUCCCCUAUUUUACCUGUGAGACAGUUUUAACAACCUUGUCCUCUUCCCUAGCCCCCACGCUCCAUUCUCCAUUAGGCAUUGCUUAUCUUUGACUGGACUUUUGAACUUGUCCUUGAGUGGCUCUAUCUCCAUUUUCUCUUCUCCAGUGAAUCCUACACAUGAGUACCCAAUGAAACUUACAAAAACAUGUUUCAAAAUCAUUCCUGCUAAGAAGACAAUCAUAGCUUGCCUAGAAAAUUAGUAAUAAACUCCUACCGUUUCCACACUAGGCUUCCACACUAGGCCGUUCCUAUCAUAACCUCAACUUUGUUUCAGUUCUUCUUGCCAUUUCAUCUUUCUGUUCCCUGUCUAUCCUUUUUUUUCUUGUGAAAUAUUAAUUUUCUUUUAUUAUUUCUGAUGCACCACCCCAAAACCAAUCCCCUGCUUCUGACUCACUAAUGAGUGUUUCUUCCAUGUUCUAGACAAGAUGUCCACUUGUUGGGCCAAGUCUUUCCUACUUUCAUGCCUCUCCCUUUCCCUUCACCUCCUUGGUUAAAUCUUGGUUCUUUCAUCCUUGCUUAGGCUAGGAAAAUAGUUUCCUAGCUAGGCUACCUAGUUCUGUAUUCUCCAUUGUUAAACCCAGUCAGCAUUAUCCUUGUCAGAGUAACAAUAUCAGAAUACACAAUUUUACCUUGUCAAUUUCCUGUUCAAAAGCUAGAAUGGCUCCUUAUUUACUAUAAUCAAAAUCCAAAGAGGACACCAUAUGGCCCAACUACAGGGAACCCUACUGAGGUUUUAUUCUACUGGAGUUCAGGCAUCUUAGUUUAGCAUUAAGUGGUAUUUUGAGAACCAUUAGUGGAAAUGUUAUUACAACCUGCCUGUCUACUUUCCUGACUCCUGCAAGGCAUACAUAUGCCCCAAGAAAAGGAGAACCACUCCUUUCAGGUGUAUUGGGGAAGCAAUGGCUCAAAUAGGUUCUCCUUCCUGAAGGACUUGAAAAUAUCUUUAAGCUGCUAAUGUGCCUUAUGAAUCUCCAAUAAGAAUCUCCAUGGAACAGGGUGGUUUUUGUUUUCCUCCAUCACUCCUGUAUUUCCCAGAACACCUGAGUUCCACAACCUAGAGUUCGUCCCUGUACAUCCUCGGCAGUCCUCGUCCCAGGUCAAAGGCCACUUCUGAAUGACCAUCUUGAUGGAAGGCACCGUCCCCUCCCUAUGCUGUCAUCCUGUUUUAUUUUCUUCCUAAGACUUAUUGCACUUUGAUGUGAUGGUGCUUGUUACUUGUUACUUGCUUGUUGUUUUUCCCUCUAGGAUGUAAGGUCCAAGGCAAUCAACAUUCUCUCUCAUCUGUUGCUAUCUCUCCAUUUAGGAGAGUACCUGAUAUACUUAAUAAAGUUUUUUCUUUUUUUUUUUUUCAGAAGAAAUGUAUGUUCCCCCCAAAAGCCUCGCUUAUAUUUGUCUCCUUUUUUCUCCUUUUUUCUCUAUUUUACAAAGUGGAAAUAAAACUUAUCUGAGAUUUUCCUUAAUGGUCUGCCUCAUCCCAAAGUAAUAGCUCUUCUACCUAACUUCUGGAAUGUUAGUUACUGAAUAAGUCAAUUUAUUUUGAACAUCUAACAUAUAUAUGUAUAUAUAUAUGCAUGUAAUAUAUGUGCAUGUGUGUGUGUGUAUAUAUAUAAAAUUUUUUUUUUUUGGCAUAGAAAUUCUACCUUUCUCUCUCCUCACUAUAGUGUAUUUGACUUGUGACCAGGAUCUGUGCCAUACUUUGGGUGUCUCCGAGAACUGAGCAGACAGGGCUUCCCAGGGAAGCAGGAAAUAUCUAUGACUUGAUUAAGUAGAUAUCCCCUUUCUACCCCCUUGAAGGAGGCAGUGCUGUGCUCAUAUGUGGAGUGGCUGGAUGAGCUCUGUCCUAGCAGGAAGUGUAUCUGAUGCUGGGAAGGAGGUAGAGGGCAGGUUUAUACAGUAGGAGAAUCUUGUAGAGACUUGCUCUGGGCCCUCCUGCACAUGAGCUUUCUGGCAUUUAAGUACAUUUGGUUAAGUCUUCCCAGCUGGGAGGAACAUGGGGGAAAAAAUUCUCCCUACUGGCCUGUGGAAAAGGAAUUGAUGGUGUAAAUCAGCCAUGGAAGGAGGGAAUGUGGACCUUUCAAAGGAGCAAAGGAGAAUUUGCCUCUUCUCAGUUUGCAGAAAGAUAGUUUGCCCUUACCUAGCCAUUUUUAAAAGUGUGUAUGAUGUGCUGUACCUGUUUCCUUAAAAAAAUGCUUAAUUUACAAUAGUACAAAGUGCUUGUACACACAUGGUUUCAUAUACAAUAUGACAGAGGGAAAGUAUGGAAUAUAUAACUGAUCAGAUAGUUUUGCUAAUAGCCAAGAGGUUUUAGAUUUAAACAUAAUAUACACAGUCAAUUCUGAUAUAUUCUCAACUUUAAAAUUAUUUCUGAUGCUCAGAAGAAGUAGCAAUUAUUGGGAGGAUUUGGGGUGAAAAGUAUAAUGAAGAAUUUCAGGAAAGAGGGAGGUUUGGGAUCAAAUAAUACAGUAUGAGUGAGUCAUGUAGACAUACGUGGUCUUAGAUUUGACAGAGACAGCAACACCUCUCUGGCAUAAGGAACCUUGGAUUGAGACCACACUUCCUGUAACAAAUCAAUAGCCAUGUGUAUUUUUAUGUUAAGUCAUUUAACUGUUGAGCCGUCUUUAAGAUCAUCACAGCAAUGCCAUUUCUUUGAGAAAUGAGAUGUCCUUUGCUGAGACAGGUUAAAGUAUUGGCUCUUCAUCCAAGUGAUGUGAAUUAGGAACAUAUGGAGAAUCUAC
RNAcentral lists this long non-coding RNA (3529 nucleotides) under Sus scrofa (pig). RNAcentral describes it as "lncRNA (ENSSSCG00045039004.1)". The record is from RNAcentral. Lineage: Eukaryota; Metazoa; Chordata; Mammalia; Artiodactyla; Suidae.